Non-coding RNA from Sporormia fimetaria CBS 119925, 91 nucleotides. NCBI's taxonomy places the organism in Eukaryota, Fungi, Ascomycota, Dothideomycetes, Pleosporales, Sporormiaceae. The record is from the annotation of a GenBank genome assembly.
GGCUUGGUGGUGUAGUUGGUUAUCACGUCAGUCUAACAUGAACACUCGUUAGUUACACUGAAGGUCUCGAGUUCAAGUCUCGGCCGAGUCA